UUGCGCAAUGGCCGAAAGGCUGACGCAGCGACGCCGCGUGGGGGAUGACGGCUUUCGGGUUGUAAACCCUUGUCAGUGGGGAAGAAAAAAAUGACUGUACCCACAGAGGAAGCCCCGGCUAACUACGUGCCAGCAGCCGCGGUAAGACGUAGGGGGCGAGCGUUGUUCGGAAUUACUGGGCGUAAAGAGCUCGUAGGCUGGAAAUUAAGUCUUUGAACAAAUCUCCCGGCUCAACCGGGAACCGUUCAGGGAUACUGAUUUUCUGGAGGGCAGGAGAGGGGAGUGGAAUUCCUAGUGUAGCGGUGAAAUGCGUAGAUAUUAGGAGGAACACUGGUGGCGGAGGCGGUUCUGUGGCCUGUUUCUGACGCUGAGGAGCGAAAGCUGG
This 385-nucleotide ribosomal RNA is filed under the name uncultured bacterium. RNAcentral's name for it is "bacterial SSU rRNA". It matches the Rfam family "Bacterial small subunit ribosomal RNA", at positions 364 to 763 of the family's 1533-position model. The record is from RNAcentral.